Long non-coding RNA from Eriocheir sinensis (Chinese mitten crab), 1415 nucleotides. RefSeq lists it as uncharacterized. Lineage: Eukaryota; Metazoa; Arthropoda; Malacostraca; Decapoda; Varunidae. The record is from RefSeq and is a predicted model, not a curated record. The transcript is spliced from 3 exons.
AACAAAGAAAAAACUGGAAUUCAGUAAAGAAUACCAACUGGGAAGGCAUCUAGGUUUAAGGGUCAAACUCUAUAAAUCCGCACUUUCACAUAUAUAAAAAGAUCAACAAAUGAGACAUAUUACUUUGGUCCAAACUGAAGACGGUGAAGAGUUCGUGGGCACAAAAUUUUAUUUGAAUUUCAUCUGGCUAGUUUAGCUCACCCUAAAGGCUUAAUGCAACAACAAAGUGGAGAUGAUUUAAAAUUGUCAUGUAAUAAUAUGAUAAUGCAACAUUAGUUUUAUUAGGUUUCCUUUUCUAAAGUAUUUAAUUAUGUGAACAAAUAUGUGAAUAAUCUCACCUUUUCUGUAGGAUUACCUUCCUUGAAAACUACUUACAGAAAGCAAGAUAUAUCUAAACAAAACUCUGGGGUCGAGUCCCUUGUAGUUAUGAUGAAGUUUUUAUUACCCUUUUCAUGUUUCUAUUACCCGAUUUUUACAGAAAGAAGAAUUUAUUAGUAAAUAAUUCGCAUGGUAUGAAAUGCUUAAAGGUUAAGCACCUGAAAUUGAAAUGUAUGUCGUGGCUCCCAUCCAGUUUUGGCUGCCCUGAAAGGUAUGUAGUGACUCCUGCUUUGGCUGCCCUGAAAGGUAUGUAGUGACUCCUGCUUUGACUGCCCUGAAAGGUAUGUAGUGACUCCUGCUUUGGCUGCCCUGAAAGGUAUGUAGUGACUCCUGCUUUGGCUGCCCUGAAAGGUAUGUAGUGACUCCUGCUUUGGCUGCCCUGAAAGGUAUGUAGUGACUCCUGCUUUGGCUGCCCUGAAAGGUAUGUAGUGACUCCUGCUUUGACUGCCCUGAAAGGUAUGUAGUGACUCCUGCUUUGGCUGCCCUGAAAGGUAUGUAGUGACUCCUGCUUUGACUGCCCUGAAAGGUAUGUAGUGACUCCUGCUUUGGCUGCCCUGAAAGGUAUGUAGUGACUCCUGCUUUGACUGCCCUGAAAGGUAUGUAGUGACUCCUGCUUUGGCUGCCCUGAAAGGUAUGUAGUGACUCCUGCUUUGGCUGCCCUGAAAGGUAUGUAGUGACUCCUGCUUUGGCUGCCCUGAAAGGUGUGUAGUGACUCCUGCCCAUUUUUAGCUGCCCUGAAAGGUAUGUAGUAACUUCUGCCCACUUUUGUUUGCCAUGAAAGGUAUGUAGUGACUCCUGACUGGUUUUGGCUGCCCAGAAAGAUAUAUAGUGCCUCCCGCACGGUGCACACACACAAACACACUUUUUUCCAGUGAUGUGGCUUGCUUUUGCUUGGUCAAUAUGGCUCUACAAUGUCUUGCUGUUGUGUGAGGAACUGCCCCAAACUUCACUGGUGCUGAAGGGAACAGCAUCCCAUUCAACAAUAUUUCAUGCUAUUUUGAAAAUUACCUAUGUAAUUUACAGGGAAUAAAUUAUCA